Molecule: ribosomal RNA, 2901 nt
Filed under: Escherichia coli
Lineage: Bacteria; Pseudomonadati; Pseudomonadota; Gammaproteobacteria; Enterobacterales; Enterobacteriaceae
Description: 23S ribosomal RNA
Rfam family: Bacterial large subunit ribosomal RNA
Source: RNAcentral
GGUUAAGCGACUAAGCGUACACGGUGGAUGCCCCGGCAGUCAGAGGCGAUGAAGGACGUGCUAAUCUGCGAUAAGCGUCGGUAAGGUGAUAUGAACCGUUAUAACCGGCGAUUUCCGAAUGGGGAAACCCAGUGUGUUUCGACACACUAUCAUUAACUGAAUCCAUAGGUUAAUGAGGCGAACCGGGGGAACUGAAACAUCUAAGUACCCCGAGGAAAAGAAAUCAACCGAGAUUCCCCCAGUAGCGGCGAGCGAACGGGGAGCAGCCCAGAGCCUGAAUCAGUGUGUGUGUUAGUGGAAGCGUCUGGAAAGGCGCGCGAUACAGGGUGACAGCCCCGUACACAAAAAUGCACAUGCUGUGAGCUCGAUGAGUAGGGCGGGACACGUGGUAUCCUGUCUGAAUAUGGGGGACCAUCCUCCAAGGCUAAAUACUCCUGACUGACCGAUAGUGAACCAGUACCGUGAGGGAAAGGCGAAAAGAACCCCGGCGAGGGGAGUGAAAAAGAACCUGAAACCGUGUACGUACAAGCAGUGGGAGCACGCUUCGGCGUGUGACUGCGUACCUUUUGUAUAAUGGGUCAGCGACUUAUAUUCUGUAGCAAGGUUAACCGAAUAGGGGAGCCGAAGGGAAACCGAGUCUUAACUGGGCGUUAAGUUGCAGGGUAUAGACCCGAAACCCGGUGAUUCUAGCCAUGGGCAGGUUGAAGGUUGGGUAACACUAACUGGAGGACCGAACCGACUAAUGUUGAAAAAUUAGCGGAUGACUUGUGGCUGGGGGUGAAAGGCCAAUCAAACCGGGAGAUAGCUGGUUCUCCCCGAAAGCUAUUUAGGUAGCGCCUCGUGAAUUCAUCUCCGGGGUAGAGCACUGUUUCGGCAAGGGGGUCAUCCCGACUUACCAACCCGAUGCAAACUGCGAAUACCGGAGAAUGUUAUCACGGGAGACACACGGCGGGUGCUAACGUCCGUCGUGAAGAGGGAAACAACCCAGACCGCCAGCUAAGGUCCCAAAGUCAUGGUUAAGUGGGAAACGAUGUGGGAAGGCCCAGACAGCCGGGAUGUUGGCUUAGAAGCAGCCAUCAUUUAAAGAAAGCGUAAUAGCUCACUGGUCGAGUCGGCCUGCGCGGAAGAUGUAACGGGGCUAAACCAUGCACCGAAGCUGCGGCAGCGACGCUUAUGCGUUGUUGGGUAGGGGAGCGUUCUGUAAGCCUGUGAAGGUGUGCUGUGAGGCAUGCUGGAGGUAUCAGAAGUGCGAAUGCUGACAUAAGUAACGAUAAAGCGGGUGAAAAGCCCGCUCGCCGGAAGACCAAGGGUUCCUGUCCAACGUUAAUCGGGGCAGGGUGAGUCGACCCCUAAGGCGAGGCCGAAAGGCGUAGUCGAUGGGAAACAGGUUAAUAUUCCUGUACUUGGUGUUACUGCGAAGGGGGACGGAGAAGGCUAUGUUGGCCGGGCGACGGUUGUCCCGGUUUAAGCGUGUAGGCUGGUUUUCCGGGCAAAUCCGGAAAAUCAAGGCUGAGGCGUGAUGACGAGGCACUACGGUGCUGAAGCAACAAAUGCCCUGCUUCCGGGAAAAGCCUCUAAGCAUCAGGUAACAUCAAAUCGUACCCCAAACCGACACAGGUGGUCAGGUAGAGAAUACCAAGGCGCUUGAGAGAACUCGGGUGAAGGAACUAGGCAAAAUGGUGCCGUAACUUCGGGAGAAGGCACGCUGAUAUGUAGGUGAAGUCCCUUGCGGAUGGAGCUGAAAUCAGUCGAAGAUACCAGCUGGCUGCAACUGUUUAUUAAAAACACAGCACUGUGCAAACACGAAAGUGGACGUAUACGGUGUGACGCCUGCCCGGUGCCGGAAGGUUAAUUGAUGGGGUCAGCGCAAGCGAAGCUCUUGAUCGAAGCCCCGGUAAACGGCGGCCGUAACUAUAACGGUCCUAAGGUAGCGAAAUUCCUUGUCGGGUAAGUUCCGACCUGCACGAAUGGCGUAAUGAUGGCCGUGCUGUCUCCACCCGAGACUCAGUGAAAUUGAACUCGCUGUGAAGAUGCAGUGUACCCGCGGCAAGACGGAAAGACCCCGUGAACCUUUACUAUAGCUUGACACUGAACAUUGAGCCUUGAUGUGUAGGAUAGGUGGGAGGCUUUGAAGUGUGGACGCCAGUCUGCAUGGAGCCGACCUUGAAAUACCACCCUUUAAUGUUUGAUGUUCUAACGUUGACCCGUAAUCCGGGUUGCGGACAGUGUCUGGUGGGUAGUUUGACUGGGGCGGUCUCCUCCUAAAGAGUAACGGAGGAGCACGAAGGUUGGCUAAUCCUGGUCGGACAUCAGGAGGUUAGUGCAAUGGCAUAAGCCAGCUUGACUGCGAGCGUGACGGCGCGAGCAGGUGCGAAAGCAGGUCAUAGUGAUCCGGUGGUUCUGAAUGGAAGGGCCAUCGCUCAACGGAUAAAAGGUACUCCGGGGAUAACAGGCUGAUACCGCCCAAGAGUUCAUAUCGACGGCGGUGUUUGGCACCUCGAUGUCGGCUCAUCACAUCCUGGGGCUGAAGUAGGUCCCAAGGGUAUGGCUGUUCGCCAUUUAAAGUGGUACGCGAGCUGGGUUUAGAACGUCGUGAGACAGUUCGGUCCCUAUCUGCCGUGGGCGCUGGAGAACUGAGGGGGCUGCUCCUAGUACGAGAGGACCGGAGUGGACGCAUCACUGGUGUUCGGGUUGUCAUGCCAAUGGCACUGCCCGGUAGCUAAAUGCGGAAGAGAUAAGUGCUGAAAGCAUCUAAGCACGAAACUUGCCCCGAGAUGAGUUCUCCCUGACUCCUUGAGAGUCCUGAAGGAACGUUGAAGACGACGACGUUGAUAGGCCGGGUGUGUAAGCGCAGCGAUGCGUUGAGCUAACCGGUACUAAUGAACCGUGAGGCUUAACCUU